GCCGAAGUGAUGGAAUUGGUAGACGUGCUGGACUCAAAAUCCAGUGGUGGCGACACCGUGCGGGUUCGAGUCCCGCCUUCGGCACCA
RNAcentral lists this transfer RNA (87 nucleotides) under Peptostreptococcaceae bacterium oral taxon 113 str. W5053. RNAcentral's name for it is "tRNA-Leu". It matches the Rfam family "tRNA". From Rfam's summary of the family: Transfer RNA (tRNA) molecules are approximately 80 nucleotides in length. Their secondary structure includes four short double-helical elements and three loops (D, anti-codon, and T loops). RNAcentral also lists the same sequence under 1 other name. The record is from RNAcentral. Lineage: Bacteria; Bacillati; Bacillota; Clostridia; Peptostreptococcales; Peptostreptococcaceae.